GCAGUCAGCUGAGAUCUGGCCACUGCACUCCAGCCCAGGCGACACAGCAAGACUCCGUCUCUAAAAAAAAAGGAGUCAAAAAGGUACAAAUAAAAAGAAAAGGUCAAGACAUUUUUCAAAUGAAGGAGAACUAACAGGAUUUAUCACUAGUAAACUUGCUCUAAAAGAAUUGUCAAGGGAAGUUUUUUUCUAAAAAAAUUCUAAAUAAAAAAGCUUCUAAAAAGAUUUCCCUUCUUUCUAGAAGGGAAAUUAUAGCAGAAGGAAACCUAGAAUGGCGAGAAUAAAGAAGGCACAAUGUAUAGGGUAAAUAUAACAGACUUCUCUUGAGUUUUUAAAAAUUACAUUUGUUAAUUAAAAGAAAAAAAUUAACAGUUUUAUGUGAUUCUCUGUAGAGCAUACAUAGUUUUGUUUUUUUAGGUUGAAGUCUCUGUCACCCAAGCUGAAGUGCAGUGCUGUGAUCAUGACUCACUGCAGCUUCAACCUAGGUUCAGGUGAUUCACCCACUUCAGCCUCUUCAGUAACUGGGACUACAGGCAUGUACUACCACGUCCAGCUAAUUUUUUUUUUUCUUUCUUUUUUUUUUUAGAGAUGGGGUCUCACUCUGUUGCCCAGGCUAAUGUCAAACUCUUGACCUCAAGAUACUGAUACUAGACAGUAGACUGUAAGAAAUUAAGUAUUUGUAUCAUCCCUAGAGCAACACAGAUUUUCCCCUAAAAACCUACACAGAUUAUUUUCAAAAGCAUCAGUAUAUUAAGGUGGAAUACUAAAAAAGAUUUAGGUAACCCAGGAACAAGAAACAUAAUAAAACAAUAGUAAACCUAAAUUAUAUUUUAUUUCAUUAAUACAGCAAUAAUUAAAUGUCAAUGAUCUAAGCUGAUUUAAAUCUAAAAACUGGAUAAGAAGCUGUGGCUUGUAAUUAAAGAUAGAAAUUUAUUCACUACACCUUCAGUUUGCUUUUUUCAUAUGUAAAUUAAUGAAAGUUUAAUAUCCUGCUUCUCUAUUUCAGUUCUAGGCACCACUGUCAGUUAACCCUAAAGAUUUCUGUGGGUGAAACCAUUUCGAUUACCAUUUUGCUCUGCUGCCGGAUAUGGGUCUUGCUCUGCCACACAGGCUGGAGUGCAAUGGCGCAAUCAUAGCUCACUGCAACCUUAACCUUCCGCAUUUGGUGUCUCUCCCCAGAUCACUCUCCAGUAAACCUUUUGCAUGAAACUGCUUAUCUCAGAAACUGUUUUUAAGACAAAGAUUGAAGUCCAAAAUAAAC
Long non-coding RNA from Piliocolobus tephrosceles (Ugandan red Colobus), 1261 nucleotides. RefSeq lists it as uncharacterized. NCBI's taxonomy places the organism in Eukaryota, Metazoa, Chordata, Mammalia, Primates, Cercopithecidae. The record is from RefSeq and is a predicted model, not a curated record. The transcript is spliced from 3 exons.